RNAcentral lists this ribosomal RNA (253 nucleotides) under uncultured bacterium. Its description in RNAcentral is "partial 16S ribosomal RNA". It matches the Rfam family "Bacterial small subunit ribosomal RNA", at positions 524 to 776 of the family's 1533-position model. The record is from RNAcentral.
UACGUAGGGGGCAAGCGUUGUCCGGAUUUACUGGGCGUAAAGCGCGCGUAGGUGGAAGGUCAAGUCCGGCUUGAAAGCCCCCGGCUCAACCGGGGAGAGUGGCUGGAAACUGGCUUUCUUGAGGGCGAGAGAGGAGGGUGGAAUUCCUGGUGUAGCGGUGAAAUGCGCAGAUAUCAGGAGGAACACCAAUUGCGAAGGCAGCUCGCUGGGACGUAACUGACGCUGAGACGCGAAAGCGUGGGGAGCAAACAGG